This 207-nucleotide long non-coding RNA is filed under the name Lathyrus oleraceus (garden pea). RNAcentral describes it as "Pisum sativum (pea) long non-coding RNA (PSAT_LNC038767)". Lineage: Eukaryota; Viridiplantae; Streptophyta; Magnoliopsida; Fabales; Fabaceae. The record is from RNAcentral.
UGUUACCGCGUGCAUGAUUUCAAUAAAAAUUGGUAGUUGUUUAUCUAUAUAAAAUAGAAACACAACAUAUAACAACAUUAAUAUAAAUGCAUUGUAGUAAAACAUAUACCUAUAGUAAUGGUAUAAAAUUCAUUAUAGCAGUAUUAAAUUCAUUAUAGUAAUGGUAUAAAAUUUAUUAUAGCAGUAUUAAAUUCAUUAUGGUAAAAC